UUCACAGUUGAUGCAACAUUGCUUUUAUUGGGGGUUUGGGGGACAUAUGACAAAGUCUCAUAAAAUGUCAACAAAGUCACAUUUUGUGCUUGGCUACUCUUUAAAAAAUCCUGUUUAUUUAAAAAUCACUUAAUGAGAACUGUGUGAAAUAUGGCCAAUAAUCAUCAUUUUGAAAAAAGGACGAGCUGAGCCACAAGGAGGUCUAAGUCUGACAAUGCCAGAUACCUAAGUGGAAAUUUACAACAGUCAAAUAUUCAGGUACUUCCAAACAUCUAGAUGUUUGUCCUUAAGCAAUCCCAGCUUAAUUGACUCCUUCAAGACAGAAUUGCAUUUGGAACCUCUGUGUUAUCCACCUGACCAUUUUAUUAAGCAUUACUAAAUGCCAACCAAAUGUAAAGGGGCUGAUAAAGAAAAGUGAAAUUUCCUUAACUCUAGCUUUUUAUUGCCGAAGUACUCUUGAGUUAGUUACAUGGAUAAGUGAGGAUUAAAAUAGCAAAUAACUAUUGAUAUUUUCAAAAACAUAAGAACUAUUGAAACAAUCAUGUAUAAAUAGUCAUCAGAAGCACUUAUGAAUACAUACUGUGCACUAAGUUGAUUAAGAAAAUGCUCUUUAGGAGAUCUGAUUUGUUUGGGUAAACUGAGAAUUCCAAAUAACUUAAGAAUAUCAUUGAAGACAUUGUACACACAACUUGGGCCAUUACGUGUUCUUUGGGGAUGGACUGUUGACAAUUUCUGGAUCUAACGAUGUUAGUUCACAGCUAGCUAUUUGUCCCAUCGAGGUGAGAAGCCAAAGAGGUGCAGAAUUGAAGCCAUCUACUAGGUACAAUGCUCCCUGAUCACGCAGAUAGAACGUUUUCAUUGAUCAAAUUCGAGUUUCUACUUGAACAGGGUGGAGUAGUUCAAGAGCCUCUGAGACUAGACUGAAGGGCCUGGUUUCUGGACCUAGAUCCGCCACACUCAAAUGCGUCAUCUUCCAUAAGUCACUCUAACUAUAUGGAUUUAUCUCAUCUGUGAAAAAGAACAUUACAGUAGAUGACCUUUAAGCUCUCCCACCUCCCUUUUAAUUAUUCUCAAGAAUUUGAGAUUUCUUGCAGACCAAAGUGAACACCUCAUUAAAGUCUGGCAAAAAAAAAAAAAAAAAGCCUAAAAUGCUGAAAACCUCUGUUGCCCAAUUUUUUCAAUUUUCUAUCAUGAAAAUACAUUCUAUUAUUCAAGUGUUUUAACCAGAAAAUUAAAGUUUUUAUGGGAUAAUUAAAUAAAGUAACUAUUUGUUUACCAUAGAAAAACAUCAAAGCGUACAGAAGAAGUAGCAAUAUGGUGACAUUGACCACAACAUUCUGACUUCAUGCUUUAGAUAGAUCGUGAGCUUUGCAAUCGCAAUUCUGAAUAUAAACCCUGUAUACGGCACUUUGGCAAGUUACUUAAUCUCAUUAAACCUCAGUUUUCUUAUCUGUAACAUAGGGAUAAUAACACCUAUUUUGCAAGAUUGUUGGGAGGCUUAAGUGAGUUAAUAUGUAAGAUGCUUAACAGAUAGUGAGAACUCAAUAAAUACCAAUUACUAUUAGCUUAACAGAAAAAUCGCAAGUUCUCCUUAUAAUCACCAAUCACUCUCAUUUGCUUUAAUGGCAGAGAAAUGCAAUUACAAUUCUAGGUGAAAUCUGGAGUGGGAGAGGGGAAAUGUGUGUGCAAAUUCUUUACCAUAUAUGUAUAUAUAUGUUGGCAUUGAAUGUCUGAGGUGAAGUCAACUAGAUGUGUGUAUUCAUAAUUCCUAAACUCAGCAAGCAGGUUCCUUCUUCCAUGGUUUUGCUCACAAAACUGAUCCAUCUGAAGGACUCUGUUUUCUCCUUCCUUUCCAUUUAUCUGAAUCUUUAACAUCCUUUGAGAUUCAUCUUAUAUUUUCCUCCUUUGGGAACUUUCUUCCUAAACAGACCAGUUUUGUCCAGCUCAUGGUGACCUCCUCUAAGCUCCUUGUUUGUAUCCUUUAUUUUGUUUUGGUUUUGCUCUUAUCGUCUAUUGACCCAAUUUGUUACUUAUCUUUUCAAAAGUUUAUGUACCUCUGUCUGACUAGAUUUAAACUCUAGAAGUAGUAACGAUGUCUCACAGAACCUAGCUUACUUGAUUAAAAAAAUGGUUGAUUGUUGGUGUCAGGUGGAAUAAUUUGAUAUUUCUAUGCUGCAUUAUGAGUGUUUUACACCGCUAUUUUAUCCUUUGGAUUGCCUCUGACUCCGUUGUUAUUUCGAAAGUACUUUAUUUUCUCUAGGUUACUCUUAAGAUCAAACUCUGUGUGUGGCUAAAAAUCAAUCUACUUAUAGCAUUAAUUUUGUUAUAACAUUAACACAUUUGUGCCAUUUUUGAUUUUAAAAUCACUGCAUUAAUAAGCAUGUUCAUACUAGGAAAAAUUUUAAAAAGUGAAUGUCACACCGAAUUUAAAUACAAACAGAGGAAUACACACGAGGAAGGGAAAGUCCUUGGCUCCUUAGAAAUCUAAUCUAGAUGUUGUUAAGUUUUUCCGUUUCUUGAAAAGAUUGCCUCUUGUUCUGAGAGUUCUGUUGGCUGAAACUGUCCCAUUUGGGUGUGCUGCUUAGCAGGAGAGGUUUCUUCAGGUGAUGGCUUUCUUUGUUUCAACUUCAUAGUUGGCUUGCGCGUCCUUCAGUGCAUCGGUCUCUGUAGUCUUUGUCCUUUCACUGGGGAGACAUUCCUGGGGGGGGGGGGGCUAUAGGAUCAGCUGAAAGGAACAUCAACACAACUAAAAGAAUAACAGAACAUGUCACGGAAAGUUAUCACAUUGACUCUUUAAUAAAAAUAAAUAAAUGUAAUGAUACUUUGGAGGCUAUGCUGUUUCUAACUACAAGUGAAAUUCUGCAUCACCGGAAAAAUGUAGCUCUUUCUCAUUGUUCACUUUGCUCAAGAAUUGGUCAAGCAAGUGUAUCGCUUGAGUGUGUGUGGGAGCACCACUUAAUUGCUCUGGGAGAAAAUGCUCCAUCAGAAAAACUUCAGGUUUAUCCAACAGGCAACUUACUGAAAUAGGACACGCAGGAAAACAACAAAAGAACACAGGACGUUAAGGACACACUCAAAAAAUCUGAAGACUAAACACAAAAUAAAAUAACUGUGAGUUCAUAAGUGCUGAGCAAUGCAGGAGUGAAUGAAGUCACUAGAAUGAUUAGGAGUUAAUGUUAAUUCCUCGUAUUUGUCUUUGUAUUUCUAGUGCCUCGCUCUGAGCAUGACAUGGUACCCACUGAAAGAAAGAAUGAAAGAACAAAAGGGAGGGAGGGAGGGAGGAAGGAAGGUAGGCAGGAAAGAAAGAAGAACAGAGAGAGAAAUAGUGAAGGAGGAGGGAGGGGGAGAAAGAAAAGAAGAAAAGAAAGGUUUCCAAAAUGCAGACGGGCCGAGAGACAGAGUGUGCAGAGAGAAAGGCAGGGUGCGAGCAAGUUCAAAGACUUGGGAGCCAGGGACGGCAGGUUCACUUAAUUCAAAAAGAGAUUACACAUUCAGAGUGGUUUCAGAAAAUGCGGUGGGACAAUUUUCAGGAGGUUUUGAAAACGUUAGGAUUUAAUCUGGGAAGUGUGCUGUAUUACUGUAACUAUCGUAGUAACACAAUUUAAUGAAUCAAGUGGAAAGGGAAUUGUGAAACUCGAAGGCAUCAACCCAACGGGAAAAAACAAACCAUAUUGCAAGAAAUUAGACGAAGACAGAAGGACUAAAGAAUAUGGUCUUAAAAUAGAAAGGCAGGUGCUUGUCUGGGUUUCUUCUAUGUUAAUGUUAAAGGAAAUGGGCUUAGAACUCAGAUCAAGAAUUUCCUUCUCCCACUGUGUAGCUUUUUUCAUUCCUCAGCUGUUCUUCUUUUCUGACACUGCCCUUCCUGAAAAUGAACUUCAGUCUUUACUGUUUUAGCAUCAAGGCAAAGUAUGUUAGUAAAUACAGUACCUGGAGGUGGAAUCAAAUAUAACUUGAAAGGGCAACUGUCGGUACAAACAGACUCUGGAUUCAAGGGGUCUGGAGUUGUUCUUGUACCUCUAUACUUUAGAAUAGUUUCCAAAAUUUUUAGAACUGUAAAAGAAUUUAGAGACCAACUAAUCCAACUCACACACGUUACAGAUAAGGCUGUUUGGGAAGAGAUGUAUUAAUGUUUCUUUUAUUUUACAAAAGUUAUUAUGAAUGAAACACACUUUGCAGGUGGAUUUUAAUUUAACUAAAGUGUUUAUUGUCAGCCUCUUCAUUAUGCCAGCACAAUGGAGAUGCAUAAUGAGUUAGGCACAGCAAAAGGGACACACUACCACAUACCACUGCUUUCUGCCCUAAACGCUUUGGGUACAUUGAAGAUGUUGCUUCUCUAGAUGACAGGUAUAUUUUUUCCCCUAAAACCUGUAAAACAACCUACUGUUAAAUAUUGUUAAUAGGUAUUUUUCUGUUCUGAUCAAGCAUGCAAUAACUGAUCCCGGAUGAGUAAUUAAAUAUACAUCUUACAGAUUUUAGAAUUCAUUAUUUUGUGAACAUAGAGUGAGAGGGUGGGGUGCUAAGCUUUUGAUACACGUAUGAAAGACUCAUUUGCAAAUAAAUUAAAAUGCUACUGUAGUAAGGAAGGAUGUUUCACAGAAUUUUUUGGUGACUCCUUUGCAUGGCUAAUAAUGGAAAGUCCUUGUAUACAUGAGCAGAUGAAAAGUAAACCAAUGUAUUUCUUUAGUGUUACAUAGAGACGGCUCAUGUAAAAUACCUUUUUUAUAAUAUGGACCCCAUUAUUAAAAUAAAUUUUGAGAAAUAAAUAGUAUAAAUAUGUGAAACACCAUAUUCUAGGUGUCUAUUAUAAGUCAAAUGUUUAACAAACCAGCUUUCUUUGGAGCCUCUGCCUACUUAAUUGGAAUGAGUAAUAUCUUGUAUCAUCUCAACAUGAGCCUCCCUUGGAAUCCUUUUUGUCUCCUGAACAUAUAAGCAUAAAUUGGGAUCCUUGCAUCGUCUUGCUUAGGGUCCCUCUGUGAUCUGAUGGUAAUGAUUCUCUGAAUUUGCAUCAAGAGCAUCUUCUCCUACUGAGCACAUAGCAAGUGCCAAGUGCCAGGCUGACCAAUCAACUCACAGGUGCUCUGUCUGGCAUCUUCCUUAAUAGCUAGAUCUUCAGGGGUCAGCUCCUUGGAGGAGGAUCUCCAGUCCAAGGAGACCCCAUGUCGAGACACCAAAAGGGAAGUUGAUGUUAGUGCACAAAUGACCUAAGGCAGAGAUUCAGUGAUUCAUCAUGUGCCAUGCAAAAUGGAGGAAAAAUAGAGAAGAAGUUGUUUAUUAUUGUUAUGAUUUUGAUUGCUUUGAUUAGAUUAAAAUUAUUAUCUCUGCCUAAGGCCAUUUCCCUGGCAUUUUAUCUCAUUAUUCCAAUAAAGGAAAUGGAUUUCCUAUGAGUAAGAUUUACUAUUCUAAUAUUCUCCAUUACUUCGAGUCGUCCAAAGUCAGGAUGAAAACGAAAUCAGUAAAGAGUAGCAAAUAUUUUACAAAUAACUCAAGUGUCCACAAUGACAAUCCUUUUAGAGAUCAUUAAUUUCCAACAUCUAGGUCACACGCAUUUAUUCUUGCCUGAGAAUGCUAACUGUAUAGUCCUUUUAUCCUUAUACUCGUUAACAAGAAUUUUUUUUAAAAGCUGACUUUAAAAACAUUCUACUCAGGAGCCAUUUCAAAUGAUGAGAAAUGCCCAAGGAAAAAAAAUCUCAAGUAGGCAACAUGUAAAGCAACACACAACUAUAUGCGCAUUAGUAUAAUUACACAUUGCAAAUGAUAUCGGAUGUAUCUAAUAUCUAAUUUUUUGAAAGCUGAUUCCACUUGAGAUUUCAAUAACAGCAUCAACAUUUUGCAGGUGGCUCCUUCUGUAUAGUAUCCAAAGGGAAUUAUUCCUCUAAUGUGCUUCAACCCUCAAGUAAAAGCUGAAGCUCUCCCUUAAAGAACCAAUGAACAAUGAACACCGAGAAUAUUACCUUGAUAGAUAAAGCAAGGGGGGAGGGUGCCACCAAACAUGGAUUCAGCAUGGUUAUUUAUUCUAUUCCUUCUGUGCAUAGGGUCCUUAUUUGCUUCAAGUAAUAAGAAACAAACUUAAAUACAAGCCUCUUUAGAAAAUGUGGAGGAGGCUUCAUAUAUAUAUAUUCUGAGCAAUAAUAUGAAAAGCUAAGAGGCUGAUGGUUUUUUAGAUCAACUGAUAAAAGAGAAAUGUGCAGUUGAAUGGCAGAUUAUACCUUUGACUGAAAACAGAGAGCCCGACAAUAAAUUCCGCUCUUAUAAAACAUACGAUUAAUUUGUCCUAAAUAGGAUGCUGGAUCAAACCUCCAUUUUGAGGAAUAAGCUUUUGUCCUCAUCUUUCUGAAUCAAUCAUCAAAUAACCAAAUAUAUAUUUUUGAUCUUGGAGAAUGGAGCAUAUUAUUCAAGUUGAUUGGAUCCAUUUUCUUGAUUCCUCCUUAAAGAUCUUUCUGCUAAUUAGUCAGGGUUACUAUUGAAUUAUUUAAUUAUCUGCACUUCUGUGCAAUGAAAUAUGUUGUCAUAUCACAUACUUUAUCAUGUUGUUGCUGUUCACACUUAAUGAUCCCUCUAUAGUUAGCAGAGUCCUUUGUUCUGCUCAGUAAGUGGUUCUAGAAAGGGGGUGGGCCCAGAAAGGAGGAGCCUUGGGGUUUGUAAAAUAAAAUCAUACAUUCCUGGUGCACAUGCAAAACUUUAUGCAUUUACAUGAAUUUCCUUUCAGAAAUUAAGUUGCAAUUCCAUUUGGAAUCAGCUAAGAGGCACAUGUCGGUGACUUCGAAUGCAGCCAGAACGAUAUGACUGUACCUUGAACAUCUCUCCAGUGCAUUUCCACUGCAGUGCAAUGGUAAAACGACGAUUUAAUUUUUUUUUUUUAAUCAGCAAGGAAUGUCUUUAACAAGAAAGAAGUAAAUUAUGAUAAUUACUCUGAAUGGUCGGAUCCUUGAGCAUUACUAAUUAGCAUUUAUUGCCUGGAUUAUAGAACAAUACAUGUGAAACCGAACUGCGAUUGCUCUUUUACGUUGAAGAACUGAAAAAGGCAGGGGAGCAAGAAGGCAGCACCAUGAGUAGUCGAGUCAGUAGUUUACGUCUCCUGGAUAGUGUGUAGAACACCUCACUUUUGAAAUACACUAAUGUGGUCCUCAAUCUUGAUAGCCCAUUCCUUUUUUGUGUUGGGCACAUAUUUAUAUGUGAUAUCCUAGGCAUGGGGGACUAAUGAGAGGAGAAACAUUUUGGCUAUGAUGUCAUUUUGGGACAAUUUUAUCCAUUGUGAGAGUUUAACAAUAAAGAGCAUAAAACUCAUCAUUUCAUAAAAGUAUAAAUUUUUCUGUAAAAAGUUUGACUUAAAAAUGAAACAAAGAACUCAGUUCUUGGUGAAUGAAAUUUUACAUGUACCUCCCCACUUUCUCUUAGGAGGACUACACUUGAAAAUAAUUGAGAAACGGCAAUUGGUUUCAGGCUUAAGAGUCUUUUUUCAUUAGGAAUUUGUAAUAAAAUAGAUUCUGAAACUAGAAAUAAAUGAGAUAUUAAUCAACAGACCAACAUCAAUCAUGUAAAUAAAUGCCACUCAUAUAAUUUGGCAACUGAAAUGCCUAAAUAACCCGGUAGGUAGGAGAGAAAGAGAGGAAAAAUUAACCAUUCAUCAUUUUUGCUGCAGUCUCCCUGUUUUCUUCCACACCCCAUUAUAGCGAAUGAAGAGAAAAGAACAUCGUAAAAUAUAAAGCCAGUAGUAAAUACGGUCGCUAGUCUCCCCAGUACCUUCCAUGGAUUCCCUACCCUGAUCCUUUUUAGUUUGAAAGAAUAAGUUUGACUAAAUCUGUGAGGAGAUUAAACAGGCUGGUGAUAAAAAUUAAUUCUGCUGAAUGAGCAAAUGCAUUUGGAUUGCAGAGAUGCAAAUAAGAUAAUACUUUUCUGUUCCUUUGACAUACCAAGCGGAUUACUUUAGAAUGUUAAAUUUGAUUUUAUUAGAAUAUAUUAGCAGUGUUUUAAUUAAUACCAAUCAAACAUUUUCUUUCCCUGAGGCUUGAUGUGUUCCUAACGCUUUCUAAAUCAUCUGUCCUUUAUCCAUCCAAAAACCCCCCACAAAAUUGCCAAAGCCUUUUGUUACAUUCUUCAUAAUUUUACUGUAUUCGAUAGAAAACUACAAGCUGUUUACCUAAAGGUGUCUUGCCCAUAAAAUUAGUUCCCAGGUGCUGGGUUUAAAAUGAGUACUAUUCAUUAGUACAGUUGAUUUUUUAAAAACGUGGAAUUAGAGACUCGAAAAUAAACAUCUUCUGUGUUUUUCUUUUGGGGAAAAAUGUUGCAAAAGGAGUUUUGGCUGGUUCGUAUGACUUGGCUUUAUUCUCACUAGAGCUUCCUAGAGCUGUUAAAUUUCCAACUGCAUUGGUUUUGAGCUGGCACUUCUUUGGAAACAGAGGCAAAAAAGGAAUUAAAAAAAAAUGCGGGGGGAGCAUCUAGUUAAAAAUACGGUGAACCAGUGUGCCCUGUGAACUGAAUUGUAACUGUGUGUUCCAAGGAGGUGCGCAUUGCAUUUCUCUCAUUAUCCCCUCCUUUUCUCUCAAGCUUCCUGUCCUUCUGUGUCCGAAAGCUCCAGUUCACUUCUUUCUCUUUUCUUCCUGCAAUGCACCCCCCCCACCCCUCAAUUCCCCGCCUUAUUUUUUUUUUUAUCUGCCAAGCUGGAUUUGCACUUUUAAAGAUCAGUAUCAAUAAUGCCCUGCUUGUUUCGGUUGCACUCUCCCUUUAAAAGACAGCCCCCUCUAAUUGAUGCGUCUGGGCUAGUCUAGACUGGUAGUGAUUGAACCAACCACCAAUUAUGUUAUUCAUUUCACUGAACUUCACUGAUGGGCUUGGUGAAGAAGAAGGGGUGUUGAGAAACCUGCCCUUACUGAAGCAGUUCCCUGCUGAAAUAUAAAAUCUUGCGUGUCGUUAUGCACUCGUAAGUGGCUAUGUGAUCAGUUGUAUGAUAGCAACCUCAGAACACGAGCAAUCCACUUGAAAACACGUAAAAAACCAAAAGAGUGCCUUGGAAUUACAAAUUGUAUCACUUGUAUUAAAUUACUAUCCUGCUAUCAUUUCAAAUCACAGAAGAAUUAUAUCUAGGAUGCUUUUAUUGAUCCAUGCAUACAUUUGCAUAGAAUAAGCUGCAGAUAAUUUUGACUUCCAAAAGCACCAAAUGUUUUGCAAAUAUUUGAUAUGAAUCACGUAGGAAUAUAUAUCCAUAAGUUAAAUAGAUGCCUUUCCAGAAUUUCCAAAUACCUAUGCAUACUCGUCAGCUAAGAUGGAGGAAAAUCAUUAAUCUAUUGUAGAGAAACCAAAAGAUGACUUGAAAAUCAAGUAACUCUUUCCUUUGAAGCUCAAUCUGACUAUCAAACCUGGAAAGUAAUAUUUAAAUAAUAUAACUACACAAGAGGUUUCAACAAAAGGCAUGGUGCAAUGUUGCACAGUUCAUCUUCUCAAUUCAGUUUUCUGAUACAAAAUGGUUUCUUGACUACAAUUUGGAGUCAAUGACUAAAAUUGCAAUAAACGCCUGAAAAAAAGCAACAGGAAAAGAACAGUUUCCUUAACCUUCGACUACACGUAUAAAAUGAGGUUACAACCAAUAUAAAGUCUUUAAAAGAAGAAAGCAUUUGAAGUCAGGGCUGAUUUAGGUAUUUUCCAAAAUAGAAGACAAAUGUUUGCCCAAGAAUACAAAAAUUGUUUAAAUGAAAUUGCAUAUUGGAAUUUUUCACAACAAAGGAAAGAAAAAAGUUCCACCAAAUUUCCAGGAUGCAAAGGCACGACUCGCAGCUCCCAAGAGCCUAACCCGUG
Molecule: long non-coding RNA, 9789 nt
Filed under: Equus caballus (horse)
Lineage: Eukaryota; Metazoa; Chordata; Mammalia; Perissodactyla; Equidae
Description: lncRNA (ENSECAG00000057712.1)
Source: RNAcentral